Molecule: unclassified non-coding RNA, 471 nt
Filed under: Hevea brasiliensis (rubber tree)
Lineage: Eukaryota; Viridiplantae; Streptophyta; Magnoliopsida; Malpighiales; Euphorbiaceae
Source: RNAcentral
AUAAGGAGCAACACUUCAGGCCAGAUGUAUCUCUUUAAAUGCGUUGAUCAAGCUCUCCACCAACUUGAGUGUAGUAGUAACUACUAGAAUCCAACCCUUCUAACAAAAUCAGAGAAAAAUCUAGUUGGCUCUGGAUAUAGAGUUAAAGGAAGUCCAUUAUCAGGAGAAGUUGUGACGCCGAUGUGCUUGCUGGGAGGGAGCAAUCUUGUUGACUUACUGAGUUAUCACUCAACAAUUAACACUAACUGAAAGUUGCAGGAAUAAUGAUGUAUCCUUUUAGCUAAUUGAACCCAUCUUUUCAACAUGAAAAGAUAAUAUUUACAAAUGAUGAACAUAGCGUGGAUUGAGAAGGUUUAGUCAUUCUCAUCUUUCUAGGAAAAAAAGGAGAAAUCAAAGAUUUUUCAUGUAUUGGAUUUCUUAUCUUUUAUUCUUCCAAAUUUGGAUGCUGCUUGUAUUUGUUAGUUGGAUUGG